Long non-coding RNA from Bubalus bubalis (water buffalo), 1920 nucleotides. RefSeq lists it as uncharacterized. The transcript is spliced from 3 exons. NCBI's taxonomy places the organism in Eukaryota, Metazoa, Chordata, Mammalia, Artiodactyla, Bovidae. The record is from RefSeq and is a predicted model, not a curated record.
CCAGAGCAGAUACGCUAUCAUUUCUGCUAUAUUCUGUUUGCCCAAACAAGUCUUGUGAUGGUGGUGGUGGUUGAGUUGCUCAGUCGUGUCCAACUCUUGUGACCCCAUGGACUGUAGCCUGCCAGGCUCCUCUGUCCGUGGGGUUCUCCAGGCAAGAAUACUGGAGUGGGUUGCCACCUCAUGGCCAAUCCCAAAGUCAGAAGAAAGAAAACAUACUGGAUCCUUUUAGUAAAGGAGGAGCUACAAAGUCACAUGGCAAAAGGCACCUAUAAAAGGAAAGGUGAAGCACGGUGGGCCCAGAUGCGAGUUGUUGCAGCAUCGCAGAGUAAUCUCUGCUUGAGGAGAGAAGACUGAAGACUUGUUUGACUCCAAACCAGGAAGCUGAAGGAUUUAUGAACCAGGUACUGGUGGGUGGAAGAGGAGAAUGCAAACACAGAUCCCUACUCAUGUGACAGCUGCCACCCUCCUGACUGCCUCCCAGGGCACUGCGCAGGCCCACUGUUCCAGCACUUUAUCCACAGCGUCAAUGCGGAUGGAUGGAACCUCACUUAAGAGCGGUGCCCUGAGGCACUAGUAAUUCCCUGAGAGUCUACGCUCUCCACUUGAACCCUAGAAGUUCUGGCCCUACUCAAGCCUCUCUUUGGACCACAGUUGAACAAUGAAACUAUCUGGUACCACAAGCAUCGUUGGCCUUCAGACACAAGAUAUUCUCUCCAGUGCCCAGUGAUUGAGGUGAUAAAGAAAAUUCCUCUAGGUGCAAAAUUGUCUCCAUAGCCAGACCACCUUCUUUGACUCACCUUUUUGGCUACCAGCUGCCUUAAAUGAUUACGCCACCUUUGAACAUUAUUCUACAAUGUGGUAUUUUUUUUCCUGCCACUUUUUGUACUUUUGAGUUAUGUGCCUAUUCAGCCUAAACUGUUCUGACUCCAUGAAAUGUUUAUGUACUCCUCUGAGAUUAAAAAAAAAAAAAAAAAAGAGUGCGGUUCUGAGAAAUACAUCACUUUCUCCCUGGAACCUGUGGAUGUGAAGAUGGCUCCUGUCUCCUUACAACUUGGGAAUCAGAGAAGUGUUUGAGAACUGUUAAUAAGACAAUGAGACUCUGGAAGGAGGGGACAGUCAAUAUGAGGGCAAGUUCAUAGGGAAGAUCCAUCCCAACAGAUUAUACCAAAAUGCAUUUCCAGGAUGAAUUUCUUAUUUCUGCCAUCUUUUGUAAUAAAUUAUUUUUCUUUUUCUAUGGAAAAAAAGUCUGAAAAAUUUAUUCUGUGCCUCUCUAUAUUCUACUUAAUCACAUAAAACUAUAUGAUAGGAGAAAAUAGUAUUUUCUUCUCUAUAUUGAGAAGUUUGAUAAUCAAUUAUGCUGCUUCUCUCUUUUCACUGAUAGAAACCCGAGUGCUAAUUCAGUAUUCAAAUCUAAGCAUAUGGUAUUUAUGGUCAUAAAUAAGACCAAACACAUGUAUCAUCAGCACACUAUUUUUCCCCUUUAUUGAUUUUCUAAUUAUAUUCAAACAUCCCAUGUUCUGAUUUUUAUUUUAAUUUUCUUCCCCUGAGCUUAUUGUGUGACUUUAUUUUUGUAAGAUCUUUCAAAUUCUUUGCAGAUUAAUGUGGGAAUAUAUAAAGUAUAAAUAUCCAUCAAUCAGUGUUUAUUUCUGAAAAUGUACCCAUGUAUAUUUGAUUUCUGAGAUUGCUAAGAAUGUAUCAGUGUAUAUUUUCUGUAUCAAUGGAUAAGAAGAACAUCUAAGCUUUGGGGGUUUUGUUUCUCUGCUCUGUCCAUGUUUUUUCCUCCUUGAACCUGCCAGUGAAGUGUAUACAAAGUGCUUUUCUCGAGCAGGUUCUGUUUAAUGUAGCUACUGAUGUUUGAGAUAUGAGAACUCUCACAGGGAGAAAUAAAAACUAGCAAUAUAGCAUAUAGCAUUUAGAAAA